AACCAACCGGGAUUGCCUUAGUAACGGCGAGUGAAGCGGCAAAAGCUCAAAUUUGAAAUCUGGUACCUUCGGUGCCCGAGUUGUAAUUUGGAGAGGGCAACUUUGGGGCCGUUCCUUGUCUAUGUUCCUUGGAACAGGACGUCAUAGAGGGUGAGAAUCCCGUGUGGCGAGGAGUGCGGUUCUUUGUAAAGUGCCUUCGAAGAGUCGAGUUGUUUGGGAAUGCAGCUCUAAGUGGGUGGUAAAUUCCAUCUAAAGCUAAAUAUUGGCGAGAGACCGAUAGCGAACAAGUACAGUGAUGGAAAGAUGAAAAGAACUUUGAAAAGAGAGUGAAAAAGUACGUGAAAUUGUUGAAAGGGAAGGGCAUUUGAUCAGACAUGGUGUUUUGUGCCCUCUGCUCCUUGUGGGUAGGGGAAUCUCGCAUUUCACUGGGCCAGCAUCAGUUUUGGUGGCAGGAUAAAUCCAUAGGAAUGUAGCUUGCCUCGGUAAGUAUUAUAGCCUGUGGGAAUACUGCCAGCUGGGACUGAGGACUGCGACGUAAGUCAAGGAUGCUGGCAUAAUGGUUAUAUGCCGCCCGUCUUGAAACACGGACCUCCUGUGUGAAG
Molecule: ribosomal RNA, 602 nt
Filed under: Saccharomyces cerevisiae (brewer's yeast)
Lineage: Eukaryota; Fungi; Ascomycota; Saccharomycetes; Saccharomycetales; Saccharomycetaceae
Description: eukaryotic LSU rRNA
Rfam family: Eukaryotic large subunit ribosomal RNA
Source: RNAcentral